GUCCGGUUAUCAUGAUUUGGUGUUCGGAUAUGGACAAAUUUCGGACAUUACGUACGGAAGAAAGGCUGCUCUGUCUGCUGUAUAAUUUGUGUUUUUACUUUUCAUGUAAAUGAAAACACUACCGUUGUGUAGGUCUUGACAUUGAGGUCUUCGGUGAAAGGAAAUUUCCUUUGCUGCUUAUUGAGAGGCGACAAGGACUGAGGCGGGGUUGACGUUUGUGUGCCAUCCAUGUCUUCAGCCACCCAUCACGAAUAAACAUCCCGACAUACCAACAUUAGAACGGACGAUGCCAGUGGAAGAAAACCAAACCAUGAUGUCCUCUCUACAGCCCAAUGUUUUACCACACGAUUCAGCGUAUAUACAACAGACACAUUGAGCGAAAAUGACACCACCGCACUGCAGAUGAGCGUAGUUGAUUUGAAUACAACCAGAGAUCAGUUUCAGCUUUCAGACAUCAGCGACAACGUGCUACCAGUGUUGAAUUCUACAGCAAGUCACAUCUGCCGAGCCAUCGGUAAGCUGGCAGAGACGGCGACAACUGAAUCAACCGUUCACUUGCAGCCUAUAUGGACAGACAGUGGAUGAUGAAUGCCGUCUUUGCAGUUGAGGAAUGGUCCGUUUUCAGACAGAACAUCGGUCCCCGGAAACAGAUGUCAAGAGGAUGGAUGCAACUAGAGCAUUUAAAGGCUCAGCCACAUUCCUAGAGUUAUUGGUGCAAUAUAUUGUACCUUGGUCCCAAUCACCACCCAGACCGGCAAUGAGGCAUCCUAUUUCUGAAGGAAGGAGUAUCACGCCAUUCAAGCAGUUUUGAACAAUAAGUUGAGAUUCAUUGACGUUGUGGCGGAAUGGCAUGGAGCCACAAACGAUGCUGUCAUAUACUAGUAUCAGAUAUCUUGUUUAAAGGCUCAUCUGGAGGCAAAUGAAGCUGGGGUGUACCUGCAAAACUCAAGGCUCUGCCUUUAUAAAUAACUUACUGACAUCCAUCCUCAGACCGCUGAAAUUGCAUACUAUGAUGCCGAUGCCAUGGGUGGUUUGGUAAUGGAUGGGGCUUUUGGCCUGCUUCUGUCACGCUUUCGAAAGAUAUCUGCACAGAAGCGGAGGCUGGCUGAUGUUUUCACCAGGUUAAUUGCAGUAGAUUGUCAUCACCUGCAUGAAACUACACAAUUUGUGCAUUGACAAUAGUCUAGAUUUCAAGGGCUGAAAAUGACAAUAACACUCAACAACUGGUGCAAGUUGGCCACGCGCAUCAUCAUACUUGUCGAUGUUAACCUUAUUGAUAAAUUACUUAAUGUAACACUCUUAAUCAAAAUUAAUACAUACACAUGUAUAACAAACAUCCAUUAUGACUGCUAAACCUUUAACUACUUACUUAAUUAUGCAUUUGUGGAAAAUAUGAAUUACUGAUAACAAGAUUGAAACCGUGUAUUUGAUAGCAGAAAGCACAAAGAUAUUAAAUGAUUGGUGAAUGCUUAAAGAUUUACUGUGGUUUACUAUAGUUUCAUUAUGUAGAAAUACCAUGUUUUCUUUGAAAUUAAACUCGGUAACAUAAGA
This is a long non-coding RNA of Mya arenaria, 1551 nucleotides long. RefSeq lists it as uncharacterized. The transcript has 10 exons. The record is from RefSeq and is a predicted model, not a curated record. Lineage: Eukaryota; Metazoa; Mollusca; Bivalvia; Myida; Myidae.